Nothoprocta perdicaria is the source of this 454-nucleotide long non-coding RNA. RefSeq lists it as uncharacterized. The transcript has 3 exons. The record is from RefSeq and is a predicted model, not a curated record. NCBI's taxonomy places the organism in Eukaryota, Metazoa, Chordata, Aves, Tinamiformes, Tinamidae.
CCUUGAACAAGAUGAUUGCCCCCAUCUGUCACUUAGAGGCAGAAAGUGUGAGUGGGUGACUGCCUGGCAGCUGGCUCAGGACUCGGAUUGUGUUUCCUGCUCUGCCCAGAUUCCCUGCGUGUGCUUGGACAAGUCAGAUAAAAGUUGGAAGCUUCCCCAAACUUGGGCCUAAAAUGCUGAUGAGCAACCGCAAGAGGAUGAGGCUUUUGCAAGAUCUUACCACUAUUGCUUACCUCUGGACCAGGCAGGAAAGUGCAAGAAAGGGACUUCCUUAAGGAUUUUCUGUGCAUCUGCUUUCAGCUUUGUUGAGGGUGCCUUCAAGAUCCUCCGUGACCUUCUGCAGUGCUGCUGCUUUUCAUCUUGGCUGUUGUCAUUCCAGCCUCGCUGACACGUGUUAAUGCAGAGGCCUGGGCUGUGCACGCACUGGAAUCCUUCCACUGGCACAAAGAGGAGC